This 307-nucleotide ribosomal RNA is filed under the name uncultured bacterium. RNAcentral's name for it is "bacterial SSU rRNA". It matches the Rfam family "Bacterial small subunit ribosomal RNA", at positions 28 to 337 of the family's 1533-position model. The record is from RNAcentral.
GACGAACGCUGGCGGCGUGCUUAACACAUGCAAGUCGAGCGGUAAGGCCCUUUCGGGGGUACACGAGCGGCGAACGGGUGAGUAACACGUGGGUGACCUGCCCUCAGCUCUGGGAUAAGCCUGGGAAACCGGGUCUAAUACUGGAUAUGACUCCAUGACGCAUGUUGUGGGGUGGAAAGCCUUGUGCGGCUGAGGAUGGGCCCGCGGCCUAUCAGCUUGUUGGNGGGUGAUGGCCUACCAAGGCGACGACGGGUAGCCGGCCUGAGAGGGCGACCGGCCACACUGGGACUGAGACACGGCCCAGACU